GCAAGUCGAACGAUGAAAGCUGGAGCUUGCUUUAGCUGGAUUAGUGGCGAACGUGUGAGUAACACGUUAGCAAUCUGCCCCUGACUCUGGGAUAACUUCGAGAAAUCGAAGCUAAUACCGGAUACGACCCUUCCAGGCAUCUGGUGAGGGUGGAAAGAACUUCGGUCAGGGAGGAGCUCGCGGCCGAUGAGCUAGUGGGUGAGGUAAUGGCUCACCAAGGCGACGACGGGUAGCCGGCCUGAGAGGGUGAGC
Molecule: ribosomal RNA, 252 nt
Filed under: uncultured bacterium
Lineage: Bacteria
Description: partial 16S ribosomal RNA
Rfam family: Bacterial small subunit ribosomal RNA
Source: RNAcentral